Molecule: long non-coding RNA, 791 nt
Organism: Vespula pensylvanica (western yellowjacket)
Lineage: Eukaryota; Metazoa; Arthropoda; Insecta; Hymenoptera; Vespidae
Exons: 2
Source: RefSeq, a predicted model, not a curated record
UUUGAGGAAAAGUUCGGAAAAGAUGUAGUGAUAUUCAUGUUAUGAUUUCAUGAGGUUAUAUUGAUUAAAGGUCCAAAGAAUUUUCCUUAGAAGGAUUUAUUUAUAAGAUAAUCAAGCUAAAUAAGAAAGUCAAUCUGAAACUUUCGCUGAUUCUGGCAGAAGUAUUACAAUGGUUUCUAGUAGCUUUUAGGGAAAGAGUGAAAAAAUGUGAAGCUGAGAUAAAGUUCUCAAAAUUAUUGCUAAGAACAAGAUGUAUGUAGAAUCAAGCGAGAACAAGUAAAAAGGAAAAACAAAAAAAUGAAAAUGUAAUGAAUAGCGGAUCUAAAAAGGAAUCAUAGGAGAGAAAAUACUAUAAAUUUGGAGAUUUAUAUUAUGUCCACAAGGUUAUAACUCUCAAAAAAUAAACAAAAAAGCGUUGAAUGACAAAAUAAUGUCAUAAAUUUAUACUGACGAUUACAUAGCUAUAUAAAAUAUACCCAAGUAUAUUUUAUUGAAUAUGAAGAAAAUGAAACUUUUGAAAUAUUAGAAUUAUUUACAAAGUUUGGAUUCAUAUGUAAUUUCAUGACAUGUAAAGAAUGUGAAACUUCAAGGGGAAUAGUAUAAUUAAAAUUAAAAAUAAAAGACAAUAUUUGGAAUGUAAUAGGUCAAUACAACAUAAAAAGAUAAUAAGAAUAGAUUCGAUAUUUGAAUAUCUUGAAUUAGGAAUACCAGCUGUAAUGAAAUGUCUAAAUUUAUGGGCUUUGAAUAUUUUGCAUAGCAUAUAAGUUAAGUCUAAAUAAAAAUACAGUAUC